GAUGAAGAACGUAGCGAAAUGUGAUAAGUAAUGCGAAUUGCAGAAUUCAGUGAAUCAUCGAAUCUUUGAACGCACAUUGCGCCCGCCAGUAUUCUGGCGGGCAUGCCUGUCUGAGCGUCGUUUCGACCCUCGCGCCCGGCUUCUGUCGGGGGCGGUGUUGGGGAUCGGCCACACCCUUCAGUGGGAGGCCGGCCCCUAAAUUCAGUGGCGACCACGCUGUAGCCUCCCCUGCGUAGUACUAAAACCACCUCGCAGGCGGAGAGCGGUGCGGCCCGCCGUAAAACCCCCCAACUUUUACAAGGUCGACCUCAGAUCAGGUAGGAAUACCCGCUGAACUUAAGCAUAUCAAUAAGCGGAGGA
Molecule: unclassified non-coding RNA, 360 nt
Filed under: soil metagenome
Description: partial contains 5.8S ribosomal RNA, internal transcribed spacer 2, and large subunit ribosomal RNA
Rfam family: 5.8S ribosomal RNA (bases 1-120)
Source: RNAcentral